Molecule: ribosomal RNA, 1075 nt
Filed under: Faucicola osloensis
Lineage: Bacteria; Pseudomonadati; Pseudomonadota; Gammaproteobacteria; Moraxellales; Moraxellaceae
Description: bacterial SSU rRNA
Rfam family: Bacterial small subunit ribosomal RNA
Source: RNAcentral
GGCGUGGCGGCAGCUUACACAUGCAAGUCGAACGAUGACUCUCUAGCUUGCUAGAGAAGAUUAGUGGCGGACGGGUGAGUAACAUUUAGGAAUCUACCUAGUAGUGGGGGAUAGCUCGGGGAAACUCGAAUUAAUACCGCAUACGACCUACGGGUGAAAGGGGGCGCAAGCUCUUGCUAUUAGAUGAGCCUAAAUCAGAUUAGCUAGUUGGUGGGGUAAAGGCCCACCAAGGCGACGAUCUGUAACUGGUCUGAGAGGAUGAUCAGUCACACCGGAACUGAGACACGGUCCGGACUCCUACGGGAGGCAGCAGUGGGGAAUAUUGGACAAUGGGGGCAACCCUGAUCCAGCCAUGCCGCGUGUGUGAAGAAGGCCUUUUGGUUGUAAAGCACUUUAAGCAGGGAGGAGAGGCUAAUGGUUAAUACCCAUUAGAUUAGACGUUACCUGCAGAAUAAGCACCGGCUAACUCUGUGCCAGCAGCCGCGGUAAUACAGAGGGUGCGAGCGUUAAUCGGAAUUACUGGGCGUAAAGCGAGUGUAGGUGGCUCAUUAAGUCACAUGUGAAAUCCCCGGGCUUAACCUGGGAACUGCAUGUGAUACUGGUGGUGCUAGAAUAUGUGAGAGGGAAGUAGAAUUCCAGGUGUAGCGGUGAAAUGCGUAGAGAUCUGGAGGAAUACCGAUGGCGAAGGCAGCUUCCUGGCAUAAUAUUGACACUGAGAUUCGAAAGCGUGGGUAGCAAACAGGAUUAGAUACCCUGGUAGUCCACGCCGUAAACGAUGUCUACUAGCCGUUGGGGUCCUUGAGACUUUAGUGGCGCAGUUAACGCGAUAAGUAGACCGCCUGGGGAGUACGGCCGCAAGGUUAAAACUCAAAUGAAUUGACGGGGGCCCGCACAAGCGGUGGAGCAUGUGGUUUAAUUCGAUGCAACGCGAAGAACCUUACCUGGUCUUGACAUAGUGAGAAUCUCUCAGAGAUGAGAGAGUGCCUUCGGGAACUCACAUACAGGUGCUGCAUGGCUGUCGUCAGCUCGUGUCGUGAGAUGUUGGGUUAAGUCCCGCAACGAGCGCAACCAUUGC